This 332-nucleotide ribosomal RNA is filed under the name uncultured Mycobacterium sp. Its description in RNAcentral is "bacterial SSU rRNA". It matches the Rfam family "Bacterial small subunit ribosomal RNA", at positions 25 to 359 of the family's 1533-position model. Lineage: Bacteria; Bacillati; Actinomycetota; Actinomycetes; Mycobacteriales; Mycobacteriaceae. The record is from RNAcentral.
CAGGACGAACGCUGGCGGCGUGCUUAACACAUGCAAGUCGAACGGAAAGGCCUCUUCGGAGGUACUCGAGUGGCGAACGGGUGAGUAACACGUGGGCAAUCUGCCCUGCACUUCGGGAUAAGCCUGGGAAACUGGGUCUAAUACCGGAUAGGACCUCAAGACGCAUGUCUUCUGGUGGAAAGCUUUUGCGGUGUGGGAUGGGCCCGCGGCCUAUCAGCUUGUUGGUGGGGUGACGGCCUACCAAGGCGACGACGGGUAGCCGACCUGAGAGGGUGUCCGGCCACACUGGGACUGAGAUACGGCCCAGACUCCUACGGGAGGCAGCAGAAGGG